RNAcentral lists this ribosomal RNA (494 nucleotides) under uncultured bacterium. Its description in RNAcentral is "partial 16S ribosomal RNA". It matches the Rfam family "Bacterial small subunit ribosomal RNA", at positions 28 to 507 of the family's 1533-position model. The record is from RNAcentral.
GACGAACGCUGGCGGCGUGCUUAACACAUGCAAGUCGAACGGUGAAGCGCCUUCCUUUUUGGUGGGUGUGGAUGAGUGGCGAACGGGUGAGUAACACGUGAGUAACCUGCCCCCUUCUUCUGGAUAACCGCAUGAAAGUGUGGCUAAUACGGGAUAUUCUGGGUCUGUCGCAUGAUGGGUCUGGGAAAGAUAUUGUUUCGGUGGGGGAUGGGCUCGCGGCCUAUCAGCUUGUUGGUGGGGUGAUGGCCUACCAAGGCGGUGACGGGUAGCCGGCCUGAGAGGGUGGACGGUCACACUGGGACUGAGACACGGCCCAGACUGCGACGGGAGGCAGCAGUGGGGAAUAUUGCACAAUGGGCGCAAGCCUGAUGCAGCGACGCCGCGUGAGGGAUGGAGGCCUUCGGGUUGUGAACCUCUUUCGCCAGUGAAGCAGGCCUGCCUCGUUUGUGGGUGGGUUGACGGUAGCUGGAUAAGAAGCGCCGGCUAACUACGUG